RNAcentral lists this ribosomal RNA (500 nucleotides) under uncultured bacterium. Its description in RNAcentral is "partial 16S ribosomal RNA". It matches the Rfam family "Bacterial small subunit ribosomal RNA", at positions 30 to 523 of the family's 1533-position model. The record is from RNAcentral.
AUUGAACGCUGGCGGAAUGCUUUACACAUGCAAGUCGAACGGCAGCACGGGGGCAACCCUGGUGGCGAGUGGCGAACGGGUGAGUAAAACAUCGGAACGUGCCCAGUCGUGGGGGAUAACGUAGCGAAAGUUACGCUAAUACCGCAUACGAUCUACGGAUGAAAGCGGGGGACCGUAAGGCCUCGCGCGAUUGGAGCGGCCGAUGUCAGAUUAGGUAGUUGGUGAGGUAAAGGCUCACCAAGCCGACGAUCUGUAGCUGGUCUGAGAGGACGACCAGCCACACUGGGACUGAGACACGGCCCAGACUCCUACGGGAGGCAGCAGUGGGGAAUUUUGGACAAUGGGCGCGAGCCUGAUCCAGCCAUUCCGCGUGCAGGACGAAGGCCUUCGGGUUGUAAACUGCUUUUGUACGGAACGAAAAGGCUCUGGUUAAUACCUGGGGCUCAUGACGGUACCGUAAGAAUAAGCACCGGCUAACUACGUGCCAGCCGCCGCUGUAA